Molecule: ribosomal RNA, 253 nt
Filed under: uncultured bacterium
Lineage: Bacteria
Description: partial 16S ribosomal RNA
Rfam family: Bacterial small subunit ribosomal RNA
Source: RNAcentral
AACGUAGGAGCCAAGCGUUAUCCGAAUUCACUGGGCGUAAAGCGCGUGCAGGCGGCCUGGAAAGUUGGAUGUGAAAUCUCUCGGCUCAACUGGGAGAGGCCGUUCAAGACUAUCAGGCUCGAGGGCGACAGAGGGAGGUGGAAUUCCGGGUGUAGUGGUGAAAUGCGUAGAUAUCCGGAGGAACACCAGAGGCGAAGGCGACCUCCUGGGUCGUACCUGACGCUCAGACGCGAAAGCUAGGGGAGCAAACGGG